This 1211-nucleotide long non-coding RNA is filed under the name Marmota monax (woodchuck). Lineage: Eukaryota; Metazoa; Chordata; Mammalia; Rodentia; Sciuridae. The record is from RNAcentral.
AUAUAAUGAAAGUUAUGGACCUUCUUUUGCAUUUUUUUCCCAGAAAGAUCGGAAACAUGACGUUAUAAACAAAAUGGACAUGUGGCCAUUUGUAUCAAUAAGGGCAUUAACAGCUCAAGAAAUCUCAUCAACAGAAAACUUGAAUAUAUUUUCCAACAUUACAGAAUUUCAAGUUCGUCUUAAAUCUAUUGUUAAAAUUCUGCAUUCAAGCCAGGCAUGGUGGCACACACUUGUAAUGCCAGCGACUCAGGAGGCUGACACAGGACGAUACCAAAUUCCAGGUCAACCUCAGCAAUUUAGCCAGACCCUGUCUCAAAAUGAAAAAAAAAAAAAAUAGGAUUGGGAACAUAACUUAGUAGUAAAGUGCUCCUGGGUUAAAGCCCCACUGCCAAAAAAAAAAAAAGAAAGAAAAGAAAAAAAUUCUACAUUCAUGCAUUAGAGAGUGAUGUCUAUAAGCAAGGGGCCCCAGUGGACCAGUUCAGGCACCUGGAGUAAAAGGGACAUAUUCUUCAUUUCCCUCAAAUUCAUUAUAGGAUGAUAGCUAUGAUUAGGGAAGCAUGUUUCUAGCUCUCAAAAACAAUUCUGUGCUUUCCUGAUGUUUUCUUGGCUUUUCUGUUGCCACUGUCUCAUCUGAAUUCUCUGAGAGUUCAUCUCCAGGGUUGAAAGUCUCCACCCUGGAAAUCAAGUAAAUUCAUGUCUUCCAAAUCUUGCAGUAAAACUGAUAUUCCACAAAGAUGUACCAUGGGAAUUUUGCUCUUUUGCAUCCUCCCUGCAUGAAUUUCAACUGUGCUAUCUCUGAUGAUAAUGGUGUAGUGAUGUAGUUCUUGAAGUUAAUCUGCCAUAAUUUUUUCCUGAAACAAGUAAGGCAGACUUGGGAACAGCCAGGACAGCAAGGAACGGGCUUAAAAAUGCAUUUACCAGCCAGGCACACUUGUAAUCCCAGGAACUCUGGAGGCUGAGGCAGGAGGAUCUCAAGUUCAAAGCCAGCCUCAGCAGAUUAGUGAGGCACUUAACAACUCAGUGAGACCCUGUCUCUAAAUAAAAUAUAAAAAAGAGCUGGGGACGUGGUUCAGUGGUUAAGUGCCCCUGGAUUCAGUCCCCAGUACCAAAUAUAUAUGUUUCAGUAUAAUAUUUAGACAGUAGCUUCUGUGAGCUAGGCACUGUUUUAAUUGCCUUAUGAUGUAUCAAUUCAUUUAAUCCUCACAAAAAUC